RNAcentral lists this microRNA precursor (197 nucleotides) under Cajanus cajan (pigeon pea). Its description in RNAcentral is "miRNA gene-KK1_049384". Lineage: Eukaryota; Viridiplantae; Streptophyta; Magnoliopsida; Fabales; Fabaceae. The record is from RNAcentral.
UUAUUGUGUUAAAAAGUCCCCCCCCUCUGGAUUCCCUCUUUCUUUCCCUCUCUUUCUUUCUUUUUUUUUUUCUCUCUCUCUCUCUAAGAUUUUCACCUUCUCACUCAGUUAUAAUUUUUUUUCACCCCUGCCUCCUAUUUAGAAAGAGAGGGAAAGAAAGAGGGAAUCCAGAGGGGGAGGUUCUGCUCAAGUUUUAG